Molecule: ribosomal RNA, 467 nt
Filed under: uncultured bacterium
Lineage: Bacteria
Description: partial 16S ribosomal RNA
Rfam family: Bacterial small subunit ribosomal RNA
Source: RNAcentral
GAUGAACGCUGGCGGCGUGCUUAACACAUGCAAGUCGAACGAUGAAGCCCAGCUUGCUGGGUGGAUUAGUGGCGAACGGGUGAGUAACACGUGAGCAACCUGCCCCUGACUCUGGGAUAAGCGCUGGAAACGGCGUCUAAUACUGGAUAUGUCCCGUCACCGCAUGGUGUGCGGGUGGAAAGAUUUUUCGGUUGGGGAUGGGCUCGCGGCCUAUCAGCUUGUUGGUGAGGUAAUGGCUCACCAAGGCGUCGACGGGUAGCCGGCCUGAGAGGGUGGCCGGCCACACUGGGACUGAGACACGGCCCAGACUCCUACGGGAGGCAGCAGUGGGGAAUAUUGCACAAUGGGCGGAAGCCUGAUGCAGCAACGCCGCGUGAGGGAUGACGGCCUUCGGGUUGUAAACCUCUUUUAGCAGGGAAGAAGCGAAAGUGACGGUACCUGCAGAAAAAGCACCGGCUAACUACGUG